RNAcentral lists this ribosomal RNA (464 nucleotides) under uncultured bacterium. RNAcentral describes it as "partial 16S ribosomal RNA". It matches the Rfam family "Bacterial small subunit ribosomal RNA", at positions 338 to 795 of the family's 1533-position model. The record is from RNAcentral.
CCUACGGGGGACAGCAGUGGGGAAUUUUGGACAAUGGGCGCAAGCCUGAUCCAGCUAUUCCGCGUGUGGGAUGACGGCCCUCGGGUUGUAAACCACUUUCGUAGAGAACGAAAAGGAGCCAUCGAAUAAAUAACUCUGCUGACGGUACUCUAAGAAUAAGCACCGGCUAACUACGUGCCGGCAGCCGCGGUAAUACGGAGGAGGCGAUCGUUAUCCGGAUUCCGUGGGUUAAAAGGGUGCGCAGGGGGGCCUUAAAGCCGGUGGUGAAAUCGCGGGGCUCAACCCGGCCGGGCCGGCGAAAGUGAGGGCCUUGAGGGCGGGAGAGGCAAGCGGAAUGCGGGGUGUAGCGGUGAAAUGCAUAGAUAUCAGGAAGAACGCCGAUGGCGAAGGCAGCUUACCGGACCGCAACUGACGCUGAGGCACGAAAGCGAGGGGAUCGAACAGGAUUAGAUACCCCUGUAGUC